RNAcentral lists this unclassified non-coding RNA (2729 nucleotides) under Leishmania donovani. Its description in RNAcentral is "gene:LdHU3.12.0960(CDS-product:cytochrome_oxidase _subunit_IV_putative)". The record is from RNAcentral. Lineage: Eukaryota; Euglenozoa; Kinetoplastea; Trypanosomatida; Trypanosomatidae.
UAGGAGCCCCCAAAACACACACACACACACACACACACACGCCCUCGUCCGCUGAUCGCUCACGCUGUCUCUCUCUCUCUCUCUCUGUCUCUGUCGUGAGGAAGCGCCUCCUUUUUUUUUUGCUUCGCUUCCUUCGUCUCCCCCUUCGCCCAAUCGAAAACGCAAUCAGCUAACAGCAGCAGCAGCCAUGUUCACGCGUCGCUCCGUAUCUGCGGCGGUUGGCGCCGCCAUGGCGACGUCUUCUUCGCUGUCAAUGCAGCGCCGCUACGACCACGACCGCUGGUACGGCCACGCUCUGGAGCUGGACACGCACAACUAUAAGUUCAACGGCGAGCCGCCAAGCUGGAUGAAGACGCACGCGAAGACAGAGGAGGAGACAAGCUUCGCCAAGAGUGUGCUGCCUCACAUCGACUUCGCCUCCAGCUACGAGUGCCUACUCUUCGACGCGGAUCGCCUAAACACCAAUCUCAACCGCAAGGAGUUCGGCAAUGAGAUCAAGUACCGCCUCGAGAAGCAGGCCAACACCGUCGCCAGGGCGCAGCAGCUGCUCAGGGACAAGAAGGCCGGCACCGGCCCUGACGCCGAGAAGGUUGAGAACACGCUCAUUGCCCGCAUCUUCGAUGAGGAGCAUGUGCAGGCGGAGAUGAAGUACGUCAAGUGCAUCCGCGCGAACGAGUUGGCUGAGGACAACCGCCUCGAUAUCCUGCCCGGCGGCUCGCCGAACUCGCUGCGUGAGAAGACGCGCUGGAACCUUAACACGGAGCUACACCCAGCCGACCGUGCAGAGAUUGGUGCUCGCCUGACGGCGUGGCUGCCAGAGAAGUACCACAUUGUGUACUUCGAUGACUUCCAGACCGUAGCCGCCAAUGACGCAACCGCCCGCAAGGAGAUGCUCGAGAUCGUGGAGAGCGUGCAAAAAGAGUACACCGCGGAAGCGAAGGAGUGCGGCUACGAGAACGACCUCAAGGAGACCGUGGCGGAGCUCAUGGACGACGUCGAUCCGACCCGCACCAUCACGAUGGAGGCCAUCAAGUCCUGCAAAGACCUACAGCAGCUGGAGGACUGGUCGCGCCAGGUGCACGAGUACAACGGCGACGACCGCAUCAUCGAGAUCUACGCCCGCGCUGCUGAGAUCACGAAAAACGCGGAGCACCAGGCGCUGGUGAGGCAGAUGCGCGAGUGGCGCAAGCUGGCCACCAAGAACGAGAGCAGAUUGUAAGAGGGAAAUGCUCCCGCAGACAGGAUGCGACUCUCUCUGCGCAAAGAGCCGUUGCAGGCCGCAUGUACGGCCAGUUCUUUGUGUCCCCCCUCUCUCUCGUCGCGACGGUGAUGUGGACGACGUCGCUGCGCAGUUUGCCCCGUGCCUCUGUUCUUCGGUCUUGAGUGCACGAGAGCCCUGCAAGUGUCCAAGGGGCGGCAUGUGCAUCUGAAGCUCUCCCUCUCGCUCGUGUAUUUGUGUUGAGUAGCGCUACGCGCCUCUGCGUACGUGUCUCAGCGGCAUAUACGCGCGUGUGUGUGUGUGGAUCGAAUAGGCGUGCGCGUGUGUGCGCCGGCGCGUGAGAGAGACAGGAUGGGGCGAGGGAAGCGAAGGGGGGCCGCAUAUAGGGUCCAUCCUCAAAACCAGUCCACGCACACGCGCAGGCGUCGCAGAGAAAGGCGGCGCCAACAAAAAAAAUUAAAACACUGAAGUAGUUAGUAGUACGAUGGAGAGGGCGAUAGAGGCGGCGAAGUUGUGCUCGUGUGUGCGGUAGAGCGAGAGAAAGUGAGGAGAGGGGUUGGGUAUAUACUCAACGGGUACGCACGGCGCACACGUGCGCAUUCGUACAAAAAGAGGGUCCACUCUAACGAUGUCUGUGAGCCCCUGUAUGUGCAUAUGCAUACGUCUAGAUACAUAUAUAUGUGUAUGUGUAUGUGUAUGUAUGUGCGUGUGUGUGUGUACUAGCGUGCCUGCGUGCGUGUCACGCCUUCUCUUCCAAACUCUCUCCAGCUCUCUCUCUCCUGUACUGAUCUAGUAGUGUGGUGAAGGAAGCCGAACAGGGAACAAAAAGUUUUUUUUUUACGAGAAGAGCCAUUAACGAGAGAGAGAGAGGGAGGGAGGGAGGGGGCGGAGGGAGGUAGUAUGCGCUGUCUGCAAAGUCGGGGCGCUCCCUCCCUUUGCGUCCGUACCUGGGCGCUCUUCUCAUGCUUCUGACUCUUUUUUUUUUUCGUUUGAGAAGAUGCCCUCGCGUGCGUUUGCGUCCGGGAGCAUAGCGCCGUUCCGUCAUCUCGCGAUAUUGCAUCUUGCCUCGACCUUGUUCCUCCUCUUCUCUGCGUUGUACUGUCGGCUGGCGCUAUCGUGCGUUCCGCGGCUGUGUGGGCUCGCUUUUUUUGUCUUUCCGUCUUCGUUUUCCUUUUGCUCCCCCCCCCCAGUCGUCACCGUGCGACGACGACGAUGAUCAUUGUCUUCACAAUCAUCAUCUCAUCAGCGUCGUCGUCGUUGUGGUUUUUGUCUCUCCUCUUCGUGGCUCCGUUGUCAGUGCGUGCGCAUGCAUGCAGCGAAGAGCGGAGGGGAGAGGGGAGAGCGGGGGGAGGGCGGCGGCGGCGGCACAGGAGAGCGAUGCGUCUCUUCGACAUUAAGCAGUGUUCCUCCCUCCGAUCCUCCUCCUUGCUUCCUUCCUUCCCGGUUCUCUUCCUGUUCCGUGUUUGUUUGCUCGGUGCUCUUUCUCGCAUGGCAUUUCGAGCGUAACAAU